AAUCAACGCUGGCGGCGUGCCUCAGACAUGCAAGUCGAACGCGAAAGUUCCCUUCGGGGAGCGAGUAGAGUGGCGUCCGGGUGAGUAACACGUAGGUAAUCUACCUUUGGGUGGGGAAUAACAAUCGGAAACGGUUGCUAAUACCGCAUAAUGCAGCGGCACCGCAUGGUGACAGUUGUUAAAGCGGGGGAGUCGCAAGACCUCGCGCCUAAAGAGGAGCCUGUGGCGGAUAGUCUAGUUGGCAGGGUAACGGCCUACCAAGGCGACGAUCCGUAGCCGGCCUGAGAGGGCGGCCGGCCACACUGGGACUGAGACACGGCCCAAACUCCUACGGGAGGCAGCAGUGGGGAAUAUUGGACAAUGGGCGAAAGCCUGAUCCAGCCAUGCCGCGUGAGUGAUGAAGGCCUUAGGGUUGUAAG
This 419-nucleotide ribosomal RNA is filed under the name uncultured bacterium. Its description in RNAcentral is "bacterial SSU rRNA". It matches the Rfam family "Bacterial small subunit ribosomal RNA", at positions 32 to 429 of the family's 1533-position model. The record is from RNAcentral.